Molecule: ribosomal RNA, 253 nt
Filed under: uncultured bacterium
Lineage: Bacteria
Description: partial 16S ribosomal RNA
Rfam family: Bacterial small subunit ribosomal RNA
Source: RNAcentral
UACGUAGGGUGCGAGCGUUGUCCGGAAUUACUGGGCGUAAAGCGCUCGUAGGUGGUUUGUCGCGUUGUUCGUGAAAACUCACAGCUCAACUGUGGGCGUGCGGGCGAUACGGGCAGACUGGAGUACUGCAGGGGAGACUGGAAUUCCUGGUGUAGCGGUGGAAUGCGCAGAUAUCAGGAGGAACACCGGUGGCGAAGGCGGGUCUCUGGGCCGAUACUGACGCUGAGGAGCGAAAGCGUGGGGAGCGAACAGG